GCUUAAUGCCAGCAUCUAUUAAAGCUAGAGCUGCCUCCUCCCUGUGAAGUUUAUUCACAGUGGAAGUUGGAAGUCUCCUCAACUUCAUUUUAUUGACAAUAUCUUCAUUGAAGAGGAUGUUGGCAUAUAUGGUGUGAUGGCUGGUGCUGCUGCAGUCAUGAGGGGAACCACACAACAUGCUGGAAAAGGCAAAGGGAGAGACUAAAGUUCAUGGCGCCUGAUGACAACUCUAUUUUGCUGAAUUAACUAUCCCUGCAGACCCCUAAUGAAGAAC
This 274-nucleotide long non-coding RNA is filed under the name Mustela putorius furo (domestic ferret). RNAcentral describes it as "lncRNA (ENSMPUG00000029060.1)". Lineage: Eukaryota; Metazoa; Chordata; Mammalia; Carnivora; Mustelidae. The record is from RNAcentral.